This 501-nucleotide ribosomal RNA is filed under the name uncultured bacterium. RNAcentral describes it as "bacterial SSU rRNA". It matches the Rfam family "Bacterial small subunit ribosomal RNA", at positions 95 to 606 of the family's 1533-position model. The record is from RNAcentral.
GCGGCGGACGGGUGAGUAACGCGUGGGUAACCUACCCCAAAGUCCGGGAUAACAGCGGGAAACCGCUGCUAAUACCGGAUGCCUUUACCUUGGGGCAUCUUGAGGUAAAGAAAGGCAACGCUUUGGGAUGGGCCCGCGUCCCAUUAGCUAGUUGGUGAGGUAACGGCUCACCAAGGCGACGAUGGGUAGCCGGCCUGAGAGGGUGGACGGCCACACUGGGACUGAGACACGGCCCAGACUCCUACGGGAGGCAGCAGUAGGGAAUAUUGCGCAAUGGACGGAAGUCUGACGCAGCGACGCCGCGUGAGCGAUGAAGGUCUUCGGAUCGUAAAGCUCUGUCCUUGGGGAAGAAGGUCUUCGGACUUGACGGUGCCCAAGAAGAAAGCCCCGGCUAACUACGUGCCAGCAGCCGCGGUAAUACGUAGGGGGCGAGCGUUGUCCGGAAUUACUGGGCGUAAAGGGUGCGUAGGCGGCCCUUUAAGUCGGAUGUGAAAGCCCGCG